GCAAAUCAUGAUAUCUCAUUAUUAUCAACCAUUUUCAUAAAUUGUUUUGAAAUUAUCCCCUUUUAAAAGAAUUUCAUCUUAGUUUAGGGAGAUCAUUUCUCUUUAUUUCCCUUAUUGUAAUUCAUGUCACAUCGCAUGCCUUUUGCAUGUGACAUGAUCAUCUCACAAAAUCGUUCUGCAUGUUUAAUUACAUCUUUGUACUCUUUCCUUAACUCAAGCGUUUAUCACACUUUUUUGUCAAGUUGCAGCUAUAGACUGCUUUUUCGGCGGGAAAACUUUGCUCUUCUGAUUGUGUCAGCUCUUUUAUCUACCCCUGAGAAGUCACAUCACUCCAACUACCGUUCUUGUCAUUUUGUGAGCUUUCCUCGCGUGAUGUUUUUAGGUUCAUCGUUCGAGGUUGUUAGUUGCCAAUCACGAUCCAUCGCAUUGCCCUUGCGCGAGAUGUCGCGUAUGAAUUGCUCCUUUUACCUUUACCCACUUGUCCUCCAUUUGAACAUGUUAAACACGUAAGACAGGAAUAACAUUAAUCUAAGCAUAUUUCUAAAUAUUUAUGCAUUUACAACAUAAGUUACGUGUUCUGAGCACCCUUUAGGCGUUUUAAUUAACCUCAUUAUUCUAACAAAAAAGACUAUAACGGUCGUUUCCAUACGUUAUCACUUGUAUCUAGGGUCAAGAACUACAUAAACAUAUAAUAAUAAAUUGGUCUUCUCACUUGUACUUAUGCCCCAAUACUUGUUGAGUUUUGUCUGCAUGCUUAAUAUCAUAUGACUCAAUACUGCAUUCUCAUACAACGAGUAUUCACGAAUUAUUUAUUGGAUCAAACAAAGUUUGUGAAAAAAUAUGUUUGAAGUCACAGACAUAGAUGCAGAAAACUUCAUUGUUACCUUUGAAAAUGUCUUUAGGAACUUUACAAAUACUGUUGCAAUAUCCCAAUCUUCAGCCAUAGGAAUAUCAUCUUUUGGCAAAUAACUAGGACCAUGCUCCUCUAAUCUUUCAAACGUCUUUUGACAUUUAAUUGCACCAUCCAACAUAAUGAAAAUAGAAUUCCAUAUUGUUGGAACAUCUAUCGUAAUACAAUUUUUUGUGACAUCUUAUAUUUUUAAAUCUUUAAAUAUUUGCAGUCUAGUAGAAGAUGACCCAACAUAUUUCACAACGUUUCUGAUUCGAAUGAUAGACAUGCAAAUCUUUUAAAGCAUCACUAACAAUUAAACUAAGAAUAUGAGCACAACAUCUAAUGUGAAUAAAUUCACCAUCCAACACCAACCCAUUUGAUUUGCCUUUAAACUUUUUAACCAAGUAUGCAAUGGCUACAUCGUUUGAACUCACAUUAUCAAAUGUUACAGUAAAGAGUCUAUCAAUACCCCAACCUUCUAAGCACUUUUCAAUGACUCUACCUAUUAUAUCUCCUUUAUGAUUAACUAUUUGACAAAAGUUUAAAAUUCUUUUGUGUAAGUUCCAAUCAUCAUCAAUGAAAUUAGUUGUUAUAACUAUAUAAUUAAUAUUCUGCACAAAAGUUCAUGUACUUCUUGUUAAACAAACUCUUUGGUCACUUCGAGUUAAUGCACUUUUUUACUUUUUUUUCUCCCUCAUAUACAUUUGAAAACAAUCCUUUGCAACGACUACUCUUGAUGAAAUCAGAAACUUUGGAUUUAAUGCCCGAAAAAAUUGAUGAAACUCUUCACUCUCUACAAACUUAAAUGGCAAUUCAUCCAAGAUAACCAUACUAGAAAGCAUAACAAUUUAUAACAAUUUUCUUGAGUGAAGUAUGUAGCCAUCAAACUACUUUCAGAAUCUUCCUCUCCUUCAACGUUAUCUCUUCUUACAUUUCUUAAAUGUCUUUUUAGAUUAGUUGUAUCAUUCCUUUUUAAAUCAAAAGCAUAUGAAGUCCUACAACAUUUACAAGUAGCUCUAGGAUAUUUAGGAUCACAUCUUUCUACUAUUUAUAAAAUGUUGAUGAUGGCUUAACCGUUUAUUUUCCCUAACAUUAGACUAGAACAACUUUAUUUUGAAGUUUCAUCCACAGAGAAUGAAGUCAUAUCCUAAUAAUCAUCAAACAAAACACACACAAAAUUUUAACUAUUAAUCAUCAAAUAAAACAAUAAGCUAAGUAAAGUAUAUCACGAUUUUUUUCCUUCCUUCGUAUGGCCAUACUACUUGAUGAACAAUAACAUAUAACAUAUAAAACAAGUCACUAAGAAAGUAAAGCUAAAGAUGAACUAUAAAAUAAGAAAAUGGCAUGCUGAUAUUAUUUUCCUUUGGAGAUAAUUCCAAUGUCAAAGAAUUAAGAGAUAAUUCAAUGUCAACGGUACGAAUCAAAACAAUAAUGAUCAUAAUCAAAUGCCUUACUACUGUUAUAUCUUGCUUCGACUACAUCAAGGAAAUUGAUUAAAGAAGUAAAACAGACGCACUAAAAUGAACGUUUAUUUUAGCGAUUUCAAAAACUUCCAAAUCGACUUAACUAAAUUUGCAUUGCUUAUCGUCCACAAAUAGCCUUCAAACAAUACAAAAUUUACAUAAACUUAUCCCAGCCAUGCCUAAUCCUAAAAUUUACAUAAAAACAACAUGAUUAAUUGUAGUAUUUACAUAAAAAAUACUGUAAAAUCGUCAAAUACCUUAAAAGCUUCAACCAACACUAGAGGCUACCGUGAAAACAAAACCCAUGUCAAAGGCUACCGAGAGAGCCAAACCGACGUUGGAAGAUACCAAAAGGAGAGGAGACUGACGAAUAAUGAGAGAAGACCCAAGAAGGAGAAUGAUA
This 2758-nucleotide long non-coding RNA is filed under the name Cucumis sativus (cucumber). Its description in RNAcentral is "long non-coding RNA (CSAT_LNC001140)". The record is from RNAcentral. Lineage: Eukaryota; Viridiplantae; Streptophyta; Magnoliopsida; Cucurbitales; Cucurbitaceae.